GGCCUUCCGGCGGACGGCGGAAGCGUCUAUAUAAGGGCUGCCGGCGCGAGCCGGCUAUGACGAUAAACGCUGUUUGGAAUAAGCGUUGCGGACCCGGGGGCAGAUCCCGGCGCCUCCACCAAGCCCCCUUUAGGGGCCUGCCUGCGGGGGCGACUCAGGCUCGACGUGCGUGGUAAAGAGGCAGUUUUCGUCCGGCAUGGUACCGCCGUUACCGGACCAAACACGAUAGAUGCCAACGACAACCGUAUGGCUCUCGCUGCCUAACCUUUAGGUAAGCGCGGUCCGGAAGGCACCGGGCAACAGAAGCCUUCCAUC
Molecule: transfer-messenger RNA, 315 nt
Filed under: Geminicoccaceae bacterium
Lineage: Bacteria; Pseudomonadati; Pseudomonadota; Alphaproteobacteria; Geminicoccales; Geminicoccaceae
Rfam family: Alphaproteobacteria transfer-messenger RNA
About the family: Bacterial tmRNA, also known as 10Sa RNA or SsrA, is named for its dual tRNA and mRNA-like properties. Its role is to liberate the mRNA from a stalled ribosome. To accomplish this part of the tmRNA is used as a reading frame that ends in a translation stop signal.
Source: RNAcentral